Oryza meridionalis is the source of this 203-nucleotide non-coding RNA. NCBI's taxonomy places the organism in Eukaryota, Viridiplantae, Streptophyta, Magnoliopsida, Poales, Poaceae. The record is from Rfam.
UUUAAGUGCAGCUAUAAAUUUCCGUGUCCAACUUUGAUCAUCCGUCUUAUUUGAAAAUUUUUCUGAUUAGUAUUUUUGUUGUUAUGAGAUGAUAAAACAUGAAUAUUACUUUACUCCUGAUUUAUGUUUUUAAAUUUUUUUAAAAGUUUUUCAAUAAAACGAACAGUUAAAGUUGAGCGCGGAAAAGCAUGACUGCACUUAAA